RNAcentral lists this ribosomal RNA (274 nucleotides) under uncultured bacterium. RNAcentral's name for it is "partial 16S ribosomal RNA". It matches the Rfam family "Bacterial small subunit ribosomal RNA", at positions 523 to 796 of the family's 1533-position model. The record is from RNAcentral.
AUACGGAAGGUGCAAGCGUUACUCGGAAUCACUGGGCGUAAAGCGCGCGCAGGCGGCUAUUUAAGUUGGAUGUGAAGGCCUACGGCUCAACCGUAGAACUGCAUCCAAAACUAUUUAGCUAGAGUGUGGGAGAGGAAGAUGGAAUUAGUUGUGUAGGGGUAAAAUCCGUAGAGAUAACUAGGAAUACCAAAAGCGAAGGCAAUCUUCUGGAACACUACUGACGCUGAGGCGCGAAAGCGUGGGGAGCAAACGGGAUUAGAAACCCCAGUAGUCC